Molecule: long non-coding RNA, 1779 nt
Filed under: Triticum aestivum (bread wheat)
Lineage: Eukaryota; Viridiplantae; Streptophyta; Magnoliopsida; Poales; Poaceae
Description: long non-coding RNA (TAES_LNC023060)
Source: RNAcentral
UCGGUGAUGCCUACGACCGCUGCAGCGAGGUCUCUGCCGAGUACGCCAAGACCUUCUACCUCGCUGAGCCCCUCACUCGUCACUCACUACUCUGUAACUCUGAUGAUGCUAAUCUGUAGUAGUUAAGCCAUCUGUCUCAGCACAUUUAGUCCAAAUUUGGCCAAUCUCAGGGUAUCUAGCCAUCCUUGCCUGCUCCAACAAUUUUUGUUUGCUUCAGUCCCCAAUAUGGUUCGUAGUAGACAAACGGAUAGUAGAAUUUUGCCAUGGGAUAAUUUAUGAUCCCUCAGAAUUGUUGAUUUUUCCCUUGCCAUACAUACAUCACCCUUUGCUUCUGAAACCAAAAGUCCUAUUUCUCGGAUUUAUAAUUUUCGGAGCUUGCAGAUAGUUAAUUGAAGUACACCAAUUGGUUAUAAUUUUGGUUCAUGACCUGCACCAUCUGCAAAUACACAUCUAGUAUCCAAGAAAGUUUCUGUUCUGUCACUCAGGGUCAUACUUACUGCAGCUAGUAGAUAUACCUUCUGUUGGAUUUGAAAUAAACUAAAAAAGUAACAUGAUUUUUCUUAUCUUGUACGUCAUUAGGAGCCAUGAAAAUUAACUAAAAAAGUAAAAAACAAAGGAGAGGGUCCAGUGAGUAGCUGGGUCCCUAGCAACCAAAAGAAAAAAGAGAAAAACAGAGACCCGUUACUUACUAUUAAUUGUCUUAUCUUGUGUUGUGCGUCAUGCAAUUUUCUGUUCAGCUAACUGCAUGACCAAUAUUAACUAUUCAGUAGGCUAUAUUAGUAAUUUGUUUUUUCUUGUUUUGUGCAGUUUGGAGAAAUUCAUGGUUAUUUCCUGUUACGUUUCCCGUUCACACUAAUACCGAUUGAUUUGCACCAUCUAGGGAGGCCUACAUUAUGCAAAAUGUCUAUAUCAGCUAGAGAAGUAGUGGAAAUCAGUAAACAUUAUUAUUCUUAUGCCUUAUCUGAAUAGCUUGAGAAAUUCCUUACAUGGAAUACAUCAUAUAUUUAUCUGUGGUUAAUCCUUCCUUAUUUAAAACAUUUGUUCAUUAAAUGUUGGUGGGCAGGGCAUAUAUACUUGAUUGGGUAUAUGGAAUCUGAAUGUCGGCGCACAUGAUCUUACUAGCUUCUAAAUCCGCUGAGCUGUACCGAUGAUGGUGUGUUUGCUACUCACACAUUUUAUCCAAAGGAUCCUUAUGUCAAAACGUUGCCCACUUCUAGGUUGCUGGUAUGUAUUUUCACACCAUAUGUACGCUUGUGCUUACCCCCAUCUGUCUCGGCACAUUCAGCCCAAAUUUGACCAAAUACUGAAGAUGGUGCACUUGUGGGUGCUACGUGCCAUGCAUCUUGGCCAAUCUCAAGGAAAUAAUCAGUAAAGGCAAUAGUGUUUAGUCGUUCGCCACAGAGAAUCGUUGGUGAUAUUAAUUAGUAUAUCUGUAAGUGCAUCUAGUGCCCCUUAGUGAUUUUGAUGUAUUGAAGACUUAUAGGUUAAGGGACUAAUGUGUUUGUGAGUGUACACAUGCUCUAUAAGUCGAUGAGGAGUUUGAUAUUUGCGAUGAAAGUCGACCCCUAAAGAUGUAUGUCUUCAGCUGAAGACUUCGGUUCUCCUAAAGAUUUUGAAAGUGAUGAAAUUGGUGUGACCUUGAAGACUUGGAUAUUCAUGCGAGGAUUAUGAAGCAUGAAGACUUUUGUUUUUGUGGUUUCAUUUUCUCUUUCUUGAGUCAUAGGAAACACCGUACUAUUAAAGAGGGUCGAGGUAAUACUAAGGAAAGUGAUUUUCAAG